This is a long non-coding RNA of Triticum dicoccoides, 1283 nucleotides long. RefSeq lists it as uncharacterized. The transcript has 4 exons. The record is from RefSeq and is a predicted model, not a curated record. NCBI's taxonomy places the organism in Eukaryota, Viridiplantae, Streptophyta, Magnoliopsida, Poales, Poaceae.
UGCCUCACGCAAAGAAAGCACAUCACGAUCUGGCGGCCGCCUCCUUCCACCUAGCGUUAUCCCCAUCACGAUCUGGCGGCCGCCACCAUGUCGAAAUUGCAUUCGGUGCCGCCGCCCGUCCCCUCCCUCUCCCAUCUUGCGCUUGCGCUUGUGCCUCCAAUCUCCCGUCGGACGUGCGUGUGCCUCCCAUCUAGCAUCAGCGGCCACUCGCCAGCGACGGCCCGAGGUCACCGACGCAGGGACCCAAGGAUUCGUUGCCGCCGUCCGGAGCUACUUCGUCGACGGCCUCAAUGGGGGCUUUGGCAAGAGCUCCUGGUCUUCCGCCGACGCCGCCGGGUCCAGCCCCUAGGCUGACAUACUGUCGAUCGGGACUCCGUCGGAUCCUUUGUGGCCGACCCACGUCCCAGUCCUCUCCUUCCUCUCACAGUUCAUGAGGCGACACCACAUGAGGAGGCGAGAACAGCAUAAGCAAUCUCAUUCGUGCCAAUCUGUGUGUCGCUCCUCACGCCAAGCCAAAGAUGCAAGUUCAUGAAUGACUGUUCAUUUUACUUGAGAAGUACUAAUUCACAUGGUCAAGAACAACUGCUGGAUUAUAAUUUUAUAAGCCUUUGUACAGAAUACAAGCAUACUCAUCGAUUAAUGUGUGACAUGUAGAAUCCAGUGAAGUAGUAUAAAUUUUCAUCGGCACGCCAACCAAUGUGAGUGGCAACAAUAGUAAGGUGUCGCAGAUUGACCUGGAGGUUGUCCUGAGAGGCACGACACUGCCAGUGGAGAUGUAGCAAGUGAAGGAGGAGGACGGGUGGACUAAGGUGGCUGUGUGGUAGAUGGCGAAGGUGGACAAGAUGAACAAUUGGUUCGACAGGGUGGUGGUUGUCGUCGACGGCUGGGAGACGAAGCAGGUAGACAAGUCCUUUGCCUGGCUCAACAAGAUUGAGCUCAACCUGGGACCGAGCACGGAUGCCACUGCGUAUUGCUAAAAUUUACAAGAAAUGCAGAAGAUAGAGUUACAGCAAUUGAGCAAUGCAUAGUUCCCAAAAUGUGUACCACAUAGUUCUAUGUUGAACAUAGAACUACUUAUGUUCCAUAUUCACCCUAAAACUUCUCUAAAGGUAUUGAACUUUCUCAUGUUUUGGGAAGCUACCAUGUAUCCCCUUGCCUAAAAUUUGAUUGAUAGCCGGAUGGCCGUUAACGACAGUGACGAGUUUGGAAUGGGGAGUGGAUAUAGCGGUGAAGAAGAUGAAGAAGAAGGGUGAUUUAUAACAUGGCACAAAAGUUGACAAUAU